This 2927-nucleotide ribosomal RNA is filed under the name Salmonella enterica. RNAcentral's name for it is "bacterial LSU rRNA". It matches the Rfam family "Bacterial large subunit ribosomal RNA". Lineage: Bacteria; Pseudomonadati; Pseudomonadota; Gammaproteobacteria; Enterobacterales; Enterobacteriaceae. RNAcentral also lists the same sequence under 6 other names. The record is from RNAcentral.
GGGUUGUGAGGUUAAGCGACUAAGCGUACACGGUGGAUGCCCUGGCAGUCAGAGGCGAUGAAGGACGUGCUAAUCUGCGAUAAGCGCCGGUAAGGUGAUAUGAACCGUUAUAACCGGCGAUUUCCGAAUGGGGAAACCCAGUGUGAUUCGUCACACUAUCAUUAACUGAAUCCAUAGGUUAAUGAGGCGAACCGGGGGAACUGAAACAUCUAAGUACCCCGAGGAAAAGAAAUCAACCGAGAUUCCCCCAGUAGCGGCGAGCGAACGGGGAGGAGCCCAGAGCCUGAAUCAGCAUGUGUGUUAGUGGAAGCGUCUGGAAAGGCGCGCGAUACAGGGUGACAGCCCCGUACACAAAAGCGCAUGUGCUGUGAGCUCGAUGAGUAGGGCGGGACACGUGGUAUCCUGUCUGAAUAUGGGGGGACCAUCCUCCAAGGCUAAAUACUCCUGACUGACCGAUAGUGAACCAGUACCGUGAGGGAAAGGCGAAAAGAACCCCGGCGAGGGGAGUGAAAAAGAACCUGAAACCGUGUACGUACAAGCAGUGGGAGCACCCUUCGGGGUGUGACUGCGUACCUUUUGUAUAAUGGGUCAGCGACUUAUAUUCUGUAGCAAGGUUAACCGUAUAGGGGAGCCGGAGGGAAACCGAGUCUUAACCGGGCGUUAAGUUGCAGGGUAUAGACCCGAAACCCGGUGAUCUAGCCAUGGGCAGGUUGAAGGUUGGGUAACACUAACUGGAGGACCGAACCGACUAAUGUUGAAAAAUUAGCGGAUGACCUGUGGCUGGGGGUGAAAGGCCAAUCAAACCGGGAGAUAGCUGGUUCUCCCCGAAAGCUAUUUAGGUAGCGCCUCGUGAAUUCAUCUCCGGGGGUAGAGCACUGUUUCGGCUAGGGGGCCAUCCCGGCUUACCAACCCGAUGCAAACUGCGAAUACCGGAGAAUGUUAUCACGGGAGACACACGGCGGGUGCUAACGUCCGUCGUGAAGAGGGAAACAACCCAGACCGCCAGCUAAGGUCCCAAAGUCAUGGUUAAGUGGGAAACGAUGUGGGAAGGCCCAGACAGCCAGGAUGUUGGCUUAGAAGCAGCCAUCAUUUAAAGAAAGCGUAAUAGCUCACUGGUCGAGUCGGCCUGCGCGGAAGAUGUAACGGGGCUAAACCAUGCACCGAAGCUGCGGCAGCGACGCUGAUGCGUUGUUGGGUAGGGGAGCGUUCUGUAAGCCUGCGAAGGUGACCUGUGAGGGUUGCUGGAGGUAUCAGAAGUGCGAAUGCUGACAUAAGUAACGAUAAAGCGGGUGAAAAGCCCGCUCGCCGGAAGACCAAGGGUUCCUGUCCAACGUUAAUCGGGGCAGGGUGAGUCGACCCCUAAGGCGAGGCCGAAAGGCGUAGUCGAUGGGAAACGGGUUAAUAUUCCCGUACUUGGUGUUACUGCGAAGGGGGGACGGAGAAGGCUAUGUUGGCCGGGCGACGGUUGUCCCGGUUUAAGCGUGUAGGUGUGUGUUCCAGGUAAAUCCGGUUCACUUUAACACUGAGGCGUGAUGACGAGGCACUACGGUGCUGAAGCAACAAAUGCCCUGCUUCCAGGAAAAGCCUCUAAGCAUCAGGUAACAUCAAAUCGUACCCCAAACCGACACAGGUGGUCAGGUAGAGAAUACCAAGGCGCUUGAGAGAACUCGGGUGAAGGAACUAGGCAAAAUGGUGCCGUAACUUCGGGAGAAGGCACGCUGACACGUAGGUGAAGUGAUUUACUCACGGAGCUGAAGUCAGUCGAAGAUACCAGCUGGCUGCAACUGUUUAUUAAAAACACAGCACUGUGCAAACACGAAAGUGGACGUAUACGGUGUGACGCCUGCCCGGUGCCGGAAGGUUAAUUGAUGGGGUCAGCGCAAGCGAAGCUCCUGAUCGAAGCCCCGGUAAACGGCGGCCGUAACUAUAACGGUCCUAAGGUAGCGAAAUUCCUUGUCGGGUAAGUUCCGACCUGCACGAAUGGCGUAAUGAUGGCCAGGCUGUCUCCACCCGAGACUCAGUGAAAUUGAACUCGCUGUGAAGAUGCAGUGUACCCGCGGCAAGACGGAAAGACCCCGUGAACCUUUACUAUAGCUUGACACUGAACAUUGAGCCUUGAUGUGUAGGAUAGGUGGGAGGCUUUGAAGUGUGGACGCCAGUCUGCAUGGAGCCGACCUUGAAAUACCACCCUUUAAUGUUUGAUGUUCUAACGUGGACCCGUAAUCCGGGUUGCGGACAGUGUCUGGUGGGUAGUUUGACUGGGGCGGUCUCCUCCUAAAGAGUAACGGAGGAGCACGAAGGUUGGCUAAUCCUGGUCGGACAUCAGGAGGUUAGUGCAAUGGCAUAAGCCAGCUUGACUGCGAGCGUGACGGCGCGAGCAGGUGCGAAAGCAGGUCAUAGUGAUCCGGUGGUUCUGAAUGGAAGGGCCAUCGCUCAACGGAUAAAAGGUACUCCGGGGAUAACAGGCUGAUACCGCCCAAGAGUUCAUAUCGACGGCGGUGUUUGGCACCUCGAUGUCGGCUCAUCACAUCCUGGGGCUGAAGUAGGUCCCAAGGGUAUGGCUGUUCGCCAUUUAAAGUGGUACGCGAGCUGGGUUUAGAACGUCGUGAGACAGUUCGGUCCCUAUCUGCCGUGGGCGCUGGAGAACUGAGGGGGGCUGCUCCUAGUACGAGAGGACCGGAGUGGACGCAUCACUGGUGUUCGGGUUGUCAUGCCAAUGGCACUGCCCGGUAGCUAAAUGCGGAAGAGAUAAGUGCUGAAAGCAUCUAAGCACGAAACUUGCCCCGAGAUGAGUUCUCCCUGAGACUUAGAGUCUCCUGAAGGAACGUUGAAGACGACGACGUUGAUAGGCCGGGUGUGUAAGCGCAGCGAUGCGUUGAGCUAACCGGUACUAAUGAACCGUGAGGCUUAACCUUACAACGCCGAAG